Molecule: ribosomal RNA, 514 nt
Filed under: Provespa barthelemyi
Lineage: Eukaryota; Metazoa; Arthropoda; Insecta; Hymenoptera; Vespidae
Description: partial 16S ribosomal RNA
Rfam family: Bacterial large subunit ribosomal RNA (bases 388-514)
Source: RNAcentral
GUCCUAUUAGAAUAGAAUAUUAGGUCUACUCUGCCCAUUGAUUGAAAAAAUUUAAAGGCUGCAGUAUAUUGACUGUACAAAGGUAGCAUAAUCAUUUGUUUUUUAAUUGAAAACUGGAAUGAAAGAGUUAAUGAAAUAUAAAUUGUCUCAAAAUAAAAUGUUGAAUUUAAAUUAAAAGUAAAAAUGCUUUUAUUUAAUUAUAAGACGAUAAGACCCUAUAGAAUUUGAUAAAUUUUAUUUUUAUAAUUAUUUUAUUUAAUAAUAUUAUAUAGAUAUAUUAUAUUUUAUUGGGAGGAUAGUUAAAAAAAUUAAACUUUAAUGAAUAAUAAACAUUGAUUAAUGAAAAUUUUGAUUAUUAUUAUAAUUAGUAGAAUAAAUUACCUUAGGGAUAACAGCGUAAUAAUUUUGGAGAGUUCAUAUUGAUAAGAUUGUUUGCGACCUCGAUGUUGAAUUAUGAUAAAAAUUAGAUGGAGGUAUUUAAAUUUUUAGUCUGUUCGACUAUUAAAAUCAUACA